This 460-nucleotide ribosomal RNA is filed under the name uncultured bacterium. RNAcentral describes it as "partial 16S ribosomal RNA". It matches the Rfam family "Bacterial small subunit ribosomal RNA", at positions 338 to 795 of the family's 1533-position model. The record is from RNAcentral.
CCUACGGGUGGCAGCAGUGAGGAAUAUUGGUCAAUGGGCGGACGCCUGAACCAGCCAAGUAGCGUGCAGGAUGACGGCCCUACGGGUUGUAAACCGCUUUUAUACGGGAAUAACGCGCCUUACGUGUAGGGCUUUGCAUGUACCGUCUGAAUAAGGACAGGCUAAUUCCGUGCCAGCAGCCGCGGUUAUACGGAAGGUCCUGGCGUUAUCCGGAUUGAUUGGGUGUAAAGGGAGCGUAGACCGCACGUCAAGCGUGCGGUGAAAGGUCGGGGCUCAACCCGGGCCUUGCGGCGCGAACUGGCGUGCUUGAGUCCGCGGAAAGCAGGCGGAAUUCGUCGUGUAGCGGUGAAAUGCUUAGAUAUGACGAAGAACCCCGAUUGCGAAGGCAGCUUGCUGCAGCGGAACUGACGCUGAUGCUCGAAAGCGCGGGUAUCGAACAGGAUUAGAUACCCCUGUAGUC